RNAcentral lists this ribosomal RNA (454 nucleotides) under uncultured bacterium. Its description in RNAcentral is "bacterial SSU rRNA". It matches the Rfam family "Bacterial small subunit ribosomal RNA", at positions 340 to 786 of the family's 1533-position model. The record is from RNAcentral.
UACGGAAGGCAGCAGUGGGGAAUAUUGCACAAUGGGCACAAGCCUGAUGCAGCCAUGCCGCGUGUAUGAAAAAGGCCUUCGGGUUGUAAAGUACUUUCAGUCGUGAGGAAGGUGUUAAGGUUAAUAACCUUAGCAAUUGACGUUAGCGACAGAAGAAGCACCGGCUAACUCCGUGCCAGCAGCCGCGGUAAUACGGAGGGUGCGAGCGUUAAUCGGAAUUACUGGGCGUAAAGGGCACGCAGGCGGUUAAUUAAGUUGGAUGUGAAAUCCCCGGGCUUAACCUGGGAAUGGCAUUCAAGACUGGUUAGCUAGAGUCUUGUAGAGGGGGUAGAAUUCCAUGUGUAGCGGUGAAAUGCGUAGAGAUGUGGAGGAAUACCGGUGGCGAAGGCGGCCCCUGGACAAAGACUGACGCUCAUGUGCGAAAGCGUGGGGAGCAAACGAGGGAUUAGAUACC